GUCGAACGGGGUCGGAACUUCGGUUCCGGCUUACGUGGCGCACGGGUGAGUAACACGUGGGAAUCUGCCCAUCUAUGGGGAAUAACUGCGGGAAACUGCAGCUAAUACCGCAUACGCCCUUCGGGGGAAAGGCUUCGGCCGUAGAUGGAUGAGCCCGCGUCCGAUUAGCUAGUUGGUGGGGUAAAAGCCUACCAAGGCGACGAUCGGUAGCUGGUCUGAGAGGAUGAUCAGCCACACUGGGACUGAGACACGGCCCAGACUCCUACGGGAGGCAGCAGUGGGGAAUAUUGGACAAUGGGCGAAAGCCUGAUCCAGCAAUGCCGCGUGAGUGAUGAAGGUCUUCGGAUUGUAAAGCUCUUUCGACGGGGAAGAUAAUGACGGUACCCGUAGAAGAAGCCCCGGCUAACUUCGUGCCAGCAGCCGCGGUAAUACGAAGGGGGCUAGCGUUGUUCGGAUUUACUGGGCGUAAAGCGUGCGUAGGCGGCUUGUCAAGUCAGAAGUGAAAGCCCGGGGCUCAACUCCGGAACUGCUUUUGAGACUGGCAGGCUUGAGUUCGGGAGAGGGUAGUGGAAUUCCCAGUGUAGAGGUGAAAUUCGUAGAUAUUGGGAAGAACACCG
This 617-nucleotide ribosomal RNA is filed under the name uncultured bacterium. RNAcentral describes it as "bacterial SSU rRNA". It matches the Rfam family "Bacterial small subunit ribosomal RNA", at positions 61 to 711 of the family's 1533-position model. The record is from RNAcentral.